AUCCAUUUCUCUCUGCUUCUGGACUGUGGAUAUACAGUGACAUCUCCCUCAUGCUCCUGCUGUGAAGGCUUUUCCAUCGCUAUGAACCAUGUGUAACCUUGAGCUAUGAACGAAGGUACAACAGCUCUGUGCUGGAGGCCUUUUUUCUGGGUGCGGCUCAUCCCCAAGCCAAUGCUGACGGAGGGCCAUCCUUCAGGGAGUUGGUGAACCAUGAUCAACCCUCAUGGUGGCCUAUGGAGCAGCUGGUCUGUGUUACACGUGCCCCACAACCGUAGGACUUGAAAGGGCAUACUCAAGACGCCAUGGGCUUCAGCAAAAGGAUUUGGAGGAAUCCAGCAGGAACUGACCUUGAAGACUCCACCCUGAGGAAUGGCUCCCGUAGUAUCUGAAGGAGCCAUGCAAGCUGCCAAAGGGGAAAAGCAAUGAAAAGUUUUACCCGGAUGUAAAGCCAAUAAACCACAACAAUGACCAGCCUGGAAGAUGCCCCCGGGGUGCACGGAUGGCACCCACAUCUAAUCGGAGUUUAGGGGACACUCAAAAGGAGGGAAAUCGUACUCUAAACCCAGCCAGUGACCAGUGGCUGAGGUCAUGGAUCUCAGAGAGGAACCCACUGCUUUCCCAAACCAGCAUAAUCUCUUAACUGCAUCCUUCUAACCACAGGUAAAUGUAGCUCCCAGCCCUUGCUUGUCAAAGAAGCUUCAUUGCACAGCCGGCAGAGACCAUUGCAGAAAUUUACAACUGGUCAAAAUGCAGAGAACAAAUGACCACGGGGUGCUGCACCCCAGCUGAUACAUCUACAAUACAACUCCUACACAAGGCUCAGAACACAUCCAGGAAGGAACAAUAUGGCUACCUAAAGGAGACCCGAACAAUGGCAACAACAGUUAGCACCCCAGUGUGGAUGCAAAGCUUGGCACAAAGCCACAGAUGAAGAACCACAGGCAAUUAGUGGCUCCCGAGAGACUUUGCUAGGGAUAGGUUCCGCCCCCCCCCCCAUAGGUUUUUCAGCUCCAUGUGAUCAGUCCUAAACACAUGUACAUACAAGCAACACUAAGUGGACUCAGUAGGUUGGAUUUAUACACACACCAUGCUGACUAGUUUUAUGUCAAGUUGACACAAGCCAGAGUCACUGAGAUGAGCCUCUAUUGAGAAAAUGCCUCUCUAUAAGAUCAGGCUAUAGGCAAGCCUGUAGGGCAUUUUCUAUUGUGAUUGAUGGGGGCAGGCCCCGCCCAUUGUGGGUAGUGUCAUCCCUGCACUGAUGGUCCUGGGUUCUAUAAGAAAGCAGGCUGAGAAAACUAUGGGGAGCAAGCAAGUAAGCAGCACCCCUCCAAGGCCUCUGCAUCAGCUCUGCCUCCAGGUUUGUGCCCUGCUUGAGUUCCUUCCCUCCCUGCUUUUGAUGAUGAAUUGUGGUGUGGAAUUCCAAGUGAAAUAAACCCUUUCUUCCCCAA
Molecule: long non-coding RNA, 1448 nt
Filed under: Mus musculus (house mouse)
Lineage: Eukaryota; Metazoa; Chordata; Mammalia; Rodentia; Muridae
Description: predicted gene 15083 (Gm15083)
Source: RNAcentral